Molecule: ribosomal RNA, 206 nt
Filed under: Verrucomicrobiia bacterium
Lineage: Bacteria; Pseudomonadati; Verrucomicrobiota; Verrucomicrobiia
Description: partial 23S ribosomal RNA
Rfam family: Bacterial large subunit ribosomal RNA
Source: RNAcentral
UUGUUCCGUCAGGGGCAUCGCUGCGUAGCCAUGUGCGGAAGAGAUAAGCGCUGAAAGCAUCUAAGUGCCAAGCUCAUCCCAAGAUAAUGUUUCCCGGACGCAAGUCCCUAAAGACCACGGGCAGACCACCCGUUUGAUAGGUUAGGAAUGGAAGCGCCGCGAGGCGUUAAGUUGACUAAUACUAAUCGGUCGUGCGGCUUGAUUGC